Molecule: transfer RNA, 70 nt
Filed under: Dipodomys ordii (Ord's kangaroo rat)
Lineage: Eukaryota; Metazoa; Chordata; Mammalia; Rodentia; Heteromyidae
Rfam family: tRNA
About the family: Transfer RNA (tRNA) molecules are approximately 80 nucleotides in length. Their secondary structure includes four short double-helical elements and three loops (D, anti-codon, and T loops). Further hydrogen bonds mediate the characteristic L-shaped molecular structure. tRNAs have two regions of fundamental functional importance: the anti-codon, which is responsible for specific mRNA codon recognition, and the 3' end, to which the tRNAs corresponding amino acid is attached (by aminoacyl-tRNA synthetases). tRNAs cope with the degeneracy of the genetic code in two manners: having more than one tRNA (with a specific anti-codon) for a particular amino acid; and 'wobble' base-pairing, i.e. permitting non-standard base-pairing at the 3rd anti-codon position.
Source: Rfam by way of RNAcentral
GGGAAUGUGGCUUAGUGGUAGAGUGCUUGCCUUGCAUGCCUGAGGCCCUGGGUUCAAUUCCUCAGCACCA